UGGGGGAUAUUGCACAAUGGGCGAAAGCCUGAUGCAGCGACGCCGCGUGGGGGAUGAAGGCUUUCGGGUUGUAAACCUCUUUCGCUAUCGAACAAGGCCCGCUUAGGGUGGGUUGAGGGUAGGUGGAGAAGAAGCGCCGGCUAACUACGUGCCAGCAGCCGCGGUAAUACGUAGGGCGCGAGGGUUGUCCGGAAUUAUUGGGCGUAAAGGGCUUGUAGGCGGCUUGUUGCGCCUGCUGUGAAAACGCGGGGCUUAACUUCGCGCGUGCAGUGGGUACGGGCAGGCUUGAGUGUGGUAGGGGUGACUGGAAUUCCAGGUGUAGCGGUGGAAUGCGCAGAUAUCUGGAGGAACACCGAUGGCGAAGGCAGGUCACUGGGCCAUUACUGACGCUGAGGAGCGAAAGCAUGGGUAGCGAACAGG
Molecule: ribosomal RNA, 420 nt
Filed under: bacterium
Lineage: Bacteria
Description: partial 16S ribosomal RNA
Rfam family: Bacterial small subunit ribosomal RNA
Source: RNAcentral